UACGGAGGGUGCAAGCGUUAUCCGGAUUCACUGGGUUUAAAGGGUGCGUAGGCGGGCAGGUAAGUCAGUGGUGAAAUCCCCGAGCUUAACUUGGGAACUGCCGUGGAUACUAUCAAUCUUGAAUAUCGUGGAGGUAAGCGGAAUAUGUCAUGUAGCGGUGAAAUGCUUAGAUAUGACAUAGAACACCAAUUGCGUAGGCAGCUUACUACACGAUCAUUGACGCUGAGGCACGAAAGCGUGGGGAGCAAACAGG
Molecule: ribosomal RNA, 253 nt
Filed under: uncultured bacterium
Lineage: Bacteria
Description: partial 16S ribosomal RNA
Rfam family: Bacterial small subunit ribosomal RNA
Source: RNAcentral